This is a non-coding RNA of Paramuricea clavata, 245 nucleotides long. Lineage: Eukaryota; Metazoa; Cnidaria; Anthozoa; Malacalcyonacea; Plexauridae. The record is from the annotation of a GenBank genome assembly.
GGAGUUUUCAAACCAUCUAUUCCAUUAACUAUAUGGGAGUGAACACUCCAGGCCCCUGCUGGACCAAAACUUUGAAAAGUUUAGAGCCCCCCCCCCGUCAGUAUAUCGAGCCCCCCGUUUAAUGCCAGAUUGCCAGAGAAUAUUUCGAUGCCCCCCUUAACAUCCUCACCCUCCCCCCCCACCCUUCAGCAUAAUAAAUGUACUCCCUUAUUUAUUUAUUUAUUUAUUUAUACACUAAUACUCUU